Molecule: ribosomal RNA, 1041 nt
Filed under: Flavobacterium johnsoniae
Lineage: Bacteria; Pseudomonadati; Bacteroidota; Flavobacteriia; Flavobacteriales; Flavobacteriaceae
Description: bacterial SSU rRNA
Rfam family: Bacterial small subunit ribosomal RNA
Source: RNAcentral
CUUGAGACCGGCGCACGGGUGCGUAACGCGUAUGCAAUCUGCCUUCCACAGAGGGAUAGCCCAGAGAAAUUUGGAUUAAUACCUCAUAGCAUCAUGACCCGGCAUCGGGAUAUGAUUAAAGUCACAACGGUGGAAGAUGAGCAUGCGUCCCAUUAGCUAGUUGGUAAGGUAACGGCUUACCAAGGCUACGAUGGGUAGGGGUCCUGAGAGGGAGAUCCCCCACACUGGUACUGAGACACGGACCAGACUCCUACGGGAGGCAGCAGUGAGGAAUAUUGGUCAAUGGGCGCAAGCCUGAACCAGCCAUGCCGCGUGCAGGAUGACGGUCCUAUGGAUUGUAAACUGCUUUUGUACGGGAAGAAACCCUCCUACGUGUAGGAGCUUGACGGUACCGUAAGAAUAAGGAUCGGCUAACUCCGUGCCAGCAGCCGCGGUAAUACGGAGGAUCCAAGCGUUAUCCGGAAUCAUUGGGUUUAAAGGGUCUGUAGGCGGUCUUGUAAGUCAGUGGUGAAAGCCCAUCGCUCAACGGUGGAACGGCCAUUGAUACUGCUGGACUUGAAUUAUUGGGAAGCAACUAGAAUAUGUAGUGUAGCGGUGAAAUGCUUAGAGAUUACAUGGAAUACCAAUUGCGAAGGCAGGUUGCUACCAAUGGAUUGACGCUGAUGGACGAAAGCGUGGGUAGCGAACAGGAUUAGAUACCCUGGUAGUCCACGCCGUAAACGAUGGAUACUAGCUGUUGGGCGCAAGUUCAGUGGCUAAGCGAAAGUGAUAAGUAUCCCACCUGGGGAGUACGAACGCAAGUUUGAAACUCAAAGGAAUUGACGGGGGCCCGCACAAGCGGUGGAGCAUGUGGUUUAAUUCGAUGAUACGCGAGGAACCUUACCAAGGCUUAAAUGCAGACUGACCGGUUUGGAAACAGACCUUUCGCAAGACGGUCUACAAGGUGCUGCAUGGUUGUCGUCAGCUCGUGCCGUGAGGUGUCAGGUUAAGUCCUAUAACGAGCGCAACCCCUGUUGUUAGUUGCCAGCGAGUCAUGUCGGG